CAUGGCUUUCCUGAGAACGCUGUUGCUGCUCUACUGUACUGCCUUGGAGUGCCGCCGCAAAGGAGACACCUGGAGUGACGAUGAUUGAAGAGAACACCCUCCCUGUGGUAGUUUUGGACGUUCUCUGAGCCUUCCUUUUCUGUUGCUCCUCCUUGGCAUGUUUGCAACCCCGAUAAUUGGUGGGAUGCAGCUUUUCUCCUUCCGCUAAUCGGCAGUUGCAACAUACUCGGGUGGAGGCAGAGUUCUCCUUUUCUGGGCACUCCUUGUGUAGGUGGCCACCUCCGCACCACAAACAACGUGGGGGUUGCUUGCAGUUUGCCCAAACGUGGCCGAACUGCUGACAGUUAUAACAUUGGGAGGGGCGACUCUCGCAUCUCCCUGUGGAUGGCAGCAUAGAGGCGCAGCAUGACUGUAAAGAGAGCCUUACUGUCGGGGUGCUUACAGAGCACUGUCCUCUCGGCCUCGGAUUUCGUUAUUAGUUUAUUCCAUUAUUUCUUCCUGGCAGUCAGGAUUACUAUUUGUUAAGUUUACAUGGUUCCUCUCAAAGGAAGCCACGAUUGCCUUCAACCGCGUUUCACACAAGGUCGGCUCCGUCAUUUCGCCUGCUUGAUAGUCCGUUGCAGACGGGACGGCCCCCACCUCCGGUGCACUAGCCAUGCCAGUCACUGUAUAGUUUUUUGACUCUAUCCUAACUAUGGCUGAUGCACGAGGGCUCCCACACACAGACGCGAUACGAUUUGGGACGAUAUAGCACUCGGGACGAAAGCGGCUGUUUACCGAGUGGGCCGCGCACACAGACGCGACACUCGGAACUCGGGAAUCUUUGACACCCGAUAACCAGCUGGCCAUGACUCACACUCAAUCAGUAUCUAUACGUACGUGAAACGACAUGGGUAGCGAAAUGGAACAA
Molecule: long non-coding RNA, 910 nt
Organism: Cryptotermes secundus
Lineage: Eukaryota; Metazoa; Arthropoda; Insecta; Blattodea; Kalotermitidae
Exons: 2
Source: RefSeq, a predicted model, not a curated record